Molecule: long non-coding RNA, 1122 nt
Filed under: Polistes fuscatus (common paper wasp)
Lineage: Eukaryota; Metazoa; Arthropoda; Insecta; Hymenoptera; Vespidae
Description: uncharacterized LOC122519352
Source: RNAcentral
GCUGCCUUUGCUAGAGUUAUUUUUAAGUAUUUAUUGUAUAAAAAUCAAAGGUAUGCAACUUUGGUUCCGCUGUUUUUUAUAGGUGGCUUUAGCUGUAAGUAGUGGUCGAAAUAAAUAGAUCAUAAACGUCAUAUAAUAAACUUGGACAUCUGUCAUAUAAGCUCAUGGAAAUAGUAGUUGAUUUGUGUCUGCAACAUAAAUUUAUUCUCGAUAAAAAUGUCAGUUUACGAACCAAAUUCUCGUCAUUUGAGGGAGGUUUUAAUUUUCUACUUCAAUAUGAAGAAAUCUGCUGUUAAAACUCAUCGAAUGCUCUCAAAUACUUAUGAUGAGAAUACUAUAAGUGAAAGAAUGAGUGGUUUCAACGCUUUAAGAACGGUGAUUUUCAUGUCGAAGACUGGCAUAGCGGUGGAAGAGUGAAGGUUUCCAAAGAUGCAGAAUUGGAGGCAUUAUUUAAUGAAGACUCGUGUCAAAGUCCAAAAGAAUUGGCACGAUCAUUGGGAGUGAUUCGAUAAGCAAUUUCAACACGCCUCAAAGCAUGGGAAUGAUUCAGAUGCAAGGAAAUUGGGUGCCGUACGAAUUGAAACCGAGAUGUUUAACGGCGUUUGUUUACUUGUGAACAAUUACAUGAAAGGCAAAGACGAAAGGGAUUUCUGCAUCGCAUUGUGACUGGGGCCGAAAAAUGGAUUCAUUACGAUAACCCCAAAUACAAAAAGGUAAUGCUCUGUAUUUGGUGGGACCAGCUUGGCAUAGUGUAUUAUAAGCUGUUAAAACCGACUGAAACAAUCACAGCAAAUCGUUAUCGAAAGCAAUUAAUGCGUUUGAACCAAGCAUUGAAAGACAAACGGCCAUAAUACGAGAGACACGAUAUAGUAAUUUUGCAACAUGACAAUACUCGACCCCAUGUUGCAAGACAUACUUGGAAACGUUGAAAUGGGAAGUCCUACACCAUCCGCCGUAUUCUUCAGACGUUGCUCCCUCUGACUAUCACUUGUUUCGAUUAAUGGCACAAGGCCUGACUGACCAGCACUUUCAGUCUUAUAAAGAAGUAAAAAAUUGGAUCGACACGUGGGUCGCUUUAUAAAAGAUGACCAGUCUUUUCAACGCGAGAUUGGUACGCUGCCC